UGGGGAAUAUUGCACAAUGGGCGCAAGCCUGAUGCAGCCAUGCCGCGUGUAUGAAGAAGGCCUUCGGGUUGUAAAGUACUUUCAGCGAGGAGGAAGGCGUUGUGGUUAAUAACCGCAGCGAUUGACGUUACUCGCUGAAGAAGCACCGGCUAACUCCGUGCCAGCAGCCGCGGUAAUACGGAGGGUGCACGCGUUAAUCAGAACUACUGGGUGUAAAGCGCACGCAGGCGGUCUGUCAAGUCGGAUGUGAAAUCCCCGGGCUCAACCUGGGAACUGCAUCCGAAACUGGCAGGCUAGAGUAUUGUAGAGGGGGGUAGAAUUCCAGGUGUAGCGGUGAAAUGCGUAGAGAUCUGGAGGAAUACCGGUGGCGAAGGCGGCCCCCUGGACAAAGACUGACGCUCAGGUGCGAAAGCGUGGGGAGCAAACA
This 427-nucleotide ribosomal RNA is filed under the name uncultured bacterium. Its description in RNAcentral is "partial 16S ribosomal RNA". It matches the Rfam family "Bacterial small subunit ribosomal RNA", at positions 355 to 774 of the family's 1533-position model. The record is from RNAcentral.